GUAGGUGGCAAGCGUUGUCCGGAAUUAUUGGGCGUAAAGCGCGCGCAGGCGGUUCUUUAAGUCUGAUGUGAAAGCCCACGGCUCAACCGUGGAGGGUCAUUGGAAACUGGAGAACUUGAGUACAGAAGAGGAAAGCGGAAUUCCACGUGUAGCGGUGAAAUGCGUAGAGAUGUGGAGGAACACCAGUGGCGAAGGCGGCUUUUCUGGUCUGUAACUGACGCUGAGGCGCGAAAGCGUGGGGAGCAAACAGGGAUUAGAUACCCUGGUAGUCCACGCCGUAAACGAUGAGUGCUAAGUGUUAGGGGGUUUCCGCCCCCUUAGUGCUGCAGCUAACGCAUUAAGCACUCCGCCUGGGGAGUACGGCCGCAAGGCUG
RNAcentral lists this ribosomal RNA (374 nucleotides) under uncultured organism. RNAcentral's name for it is "partial 16S ribosomal RNA". It matches the Rfam family "Bacterial small subunit ribosomal RNA", at positions 527 to 896 of the family's 1533-position model. The record is from RNAcentral.